CAGCAGCAGCCGCGGUAAUACAGAGGGUGCGAGCGUUAAUCGGAUUUACUGGGCGUAAAGCGUGCGUAGGCGGCUUCUUAAGUCGGAUGUGAAAUCCCUGAGCUUAACUUAGGAAUUGCAUUCGAUACUGGGAAGCUAGAGUAUGGGAGAGGAUGGUAGAAUUCCAGGUGUAGCGGUGAAAUGCGUAGAGAUCUGGAGGAAUACCGGUGGCGAAGGCGGCCCCCUGGACAAAGACUGACGCUCAGGUGCGAAAGCGUGGGGAGCAAACAGGAUUAGAUACCCGAGUAGUCCCUGUCUCUUAUAC
Molecule: ribosomal RNA, 304 nt
Filed under: uncultured bacterium
Lineage: Bacteria
Description: partial 16S ribosomal RNA
Rfam family: Bacterial small subunit ribosomal RNA
Source: RNAcentral